ACAGCAUUCUCUGCUCUGUCCUUGCCUAAAUUUCUAAGAUUAACCACGGCCGGCAGUUCGGCGGGGGAGAUCUCGACAGGAACGAUACUGAUAUUAAUCUGAGAUGGUGGGAAGGGGGAAAGCACCUUGAAUUGGUGGAUCACGAGAACUGCGAUGGCAAAGGGGCACGGAUUGGGGGUGAUGAAGAUCGAGAUGCUGAGAGAGGCAAGCGAAACCACA
Molecule: unclassified non-coding RNA, 219 nt
Filed under: Hevea brasiliensis (rubber tree)
Lineage: Eukaryota; Viridiplantae; Streptophyta; Magnoliopsida; Malpighiales; Euphorbiaceae
Source: RNAcentral